Non-coding RNA from Coniochaeta sp. PMI_546, 84 nucleotides. NCBI's taxonomy places the organism in Eukaryota, Fungi, Ascomycota, Sordariomycetes, Coniochaetales, Coniochaetaceae. The record is from the annotation of a GenBank genome assembly.
GGCCGCGUGGCCUAAUGGCUAAGGCGCCAGAUUUCGGCUCAAGUCAGACUCUGGAGAUUCCAUGUUCGAAUCAUGGUGCGGUCG